UGUAAGCCAAUUGACGAUACCACAGUCAACUGUGGUAAAAGGCAGUGAAGUUAUAUGUCGUUUUUUGGAUUUUCGUUGGUGUUUGGUGAAGGAUUGCAGUUAUAACAUCAGCUAACUAGUGAGUAGUAAGGUAGAAAUACCGUUAUUUGUGUGAAGUACCUUUCGGUAAGCGAGUGUCCGCAAAUGAUUGGCUAGUUCAUUCAUUUUGUUUUUCUCGUAUUUGGCUGUACGGUGCAAAAUAAAAAAUAAAAGAGGAAGUUAGCUGUUGUUGCCGAAGUGUUGCUGUGUUUUAUCAACCGGGAGAAGAAAGCGAGUUGGAUUGCUGUUGCUGUUGAAUUUGUGGCCAUCGUAGUAGCCGCCAGGUUCAGUGGACCAAGUGGACCAGACUGCAUGCUGUUGUUGUUGCUGGUUGCCAGAUUUUUGCGCUGUGUGGAUUUUUUGUUUGGACUACGGCUCAGAUAGAGCUUUUGUUUCGUCGCAGCGUUUAGCCAGAUCUCGCUGGGCGGACGAGUCCUUUCGGCGCACAGGCGCCAAAUCAAAGUUCCACCGGAUUCUCGUAGAAAUUUGCAUAACCGUUUGGUUUUUCACGAGAACAAGUCCGGUGAUUCAGCGCAAUUUUCGAAUAACGGCAACAGCAGUUUUAGUGGUCCAGUUUGUCGUGAUGAAGGAGUAAUGGCAGCAAAAUCGGAUUAUUUCGGCUAUGCAGCCGACUCGUUUUUGUUCGGGGAAAGUUCAGUUCCGCAAGGCAACAUUCGGAGAGACAAGCCACCCAGUAAGAGACGAAGAGAAGAAGAAGAAGAAGAGGGGGACGACUCCGACUCCGAUUUUUAUGGCUUUGCGGCUGAUUCCCUCAUUUUCGAACCGGUUCCUGCUUUCGAAGAAUCCUCUACAAAUGGAUUUUCAGAUGCAGAAGAACCUUUCAGAAGAAGUAAACGUAAACCUAAGAA
Molecule: RNA transcript, 947 nt
Organism: Armigeres subalbatus
Lineage: Eukaryota; Metazoa; Arthropoda; Insecta; Diptera; Culicidae
Exons: 2
Source: RefSeq, a predicted model, not a curated record